GAUGAACGCUGACAGAAUGCUUAACACAUGCAAGUCAACUGUGGAGGAUUGGUGAGUAACGCGUAAAGAACUUGCCUCCCAGCUAGGGACAACAUUUGGAAACGAAUGCUAAUACCUGAUACUGUGAGAGAGCUUUGCGUCCCAUUAGCUAGUUGGAGAGGUAACGGCUCAACAAGGCGCUGAUGGGUAGCCGGCCCGAGCGGGUGAUCGGCCACAAGGGGACUGAGACACGGCACUUACUCCUACGGGAGGCAACAGUGGGGAAUAUUGGACAAUGGACCAAAGUCUGAUCAAGCAAUUCUGGGUGCGCGAUGAAGUUUUCGGAAUGUAAAGUGCUUUCAGUUGGGAAGCGGUACCAACAGAAGAAGUGACGGCUAAAUACGUGCCAGCAGCCGCGGUAAUAC
Molecule: ribosomal RNA, 404 nt
Filed under: uncultured bacterium
Lineage: Bacteria
Description: partial 16S ribosomal RNA
Rfam family: Bacterial small subunit ribosomal RNA
Source: RNAcentral